UAUCCGUUUCCGUUCGUUUUAUAGGAUAGCUCAGGCAGUCAAUGUUGCAGAGGUUAUCAGAACCAGUCCUCAUACAAUAGUGGUACCUCUGCAAGUCUAAGUGGGAACUCAAAUUGCUACGGUGGAGCGUGCCUUGCGACUUUUGAUGGUAGCUCAUCUUCAUCCAAGGCAAACCAUAACGUAUCAUCUUCAUCUCUAAUACCUUCGUGCGUAUUUGAUCAGUCUCAAGUCAAAAACAUCUCAGACAGUCAAUCUUGUGGAGGUCAUCUGAACCAGUCCGUAUACAAUUGUGGUAACUCUGCAAGUUUAAGUGGGAACUCAAGUAGCUACGGUGGAGCGUACCUUACGACUUAUGAUGGUAGCUCAUCUUCAUCCCAGCAAAACCAUGACAUCUCAUCAUUACCUCCAGUUCCUUCAUGCGCAUUUGAUGAGUCUCAGUGCAAAGCGAGUUUUAAUAAUAUCCCAUCCAACCCUGGGGCGCAUACUCCUGAAAUAGCCCCAUCAAUAGAUGACCUUUAUUCUGCAAACAUGUUCUCAAAUAAUUUUGCUGAUUUAGACUUCACCAUAUUAAGUUCGGACUCUAUUGCUCACUCGAGGUUUAGUCACGAUGACGGACCAAAUUUGUCAACAGCUCCAUUAUCACCCUUGAUGACACCGCACCCCGUCAUCUUUAACAAUGAAAUGAUAUCCACUCCCAAUAAGGAGCACCACUUUCCGCAACCUCCAGUGUUUGUAUCCUCAGCCGCGCCAAAAGUUGGGCAACAGGAAGGUCCGCCCAACAAAAAGUCUCGAGAAGGUUGGGAGGAGUGCUGGAUUUUUGAUCUGGAAAAUCCGUAAAGUCAGGAAUUAGAGGUGGUCCGGAAGUGUUGUAAAAAUUAGGAAAUUCCGCAGAACGGUCCGGACUUUUUCGCCUCAUACCACACGUAUUUUUCAGGAUAGCCUCGAAAGUAUGCAAUUCCUUGCGGAUUGACUCUGAGCGCAGUAUUUGCCCAUUAGAUGGCUAUUGUACAGCCAAUGUAUAUUCAGGCCACAAAUCAGCUCCAAAUCUCGUGGCUUCAUCAUUUUAGUCGCGAUUCUCCGGUGAAAUUCGAUUAUUCGGAAUUUCUAUGAUUCCGUCACCUGCAAGUACGGCAGGAGUGCCGAAUUUUCUGAUUGAGAAGUACUGGAUAUUUAUGAGAAGUGCUGACAAAGUCGAGUGAAAGUACUGAUUUUCUGGCAGCCAGUUUUAGUCGACACCCCAGUCGGCCCCAACACGGGAAGAAUAACUCUACACAGUCACAUGAUGAGGUUAGUACGUUAACUUUAAUGGGUAUUUUGUUUGUUAGAAGUUCCUUUGCA
This 1338-nucleotide long non-coding RNA is filed under the name Bemisia tabaci. RNAcentral describes it as "lncRNA ENSASIAIIG005968". Lineage: Eukaryota; Metazoa; Arthropoda; Insecta; Hemiptera; Aleyrodidae. The record is from RNAcentral.